UGGGGAAUCAUGGUCAAUGGGCGAAAGCCUGAACCUGCGACGCCGCGUGAGUGAUGAAGGUCGUAAGAUCGUAAAACUCUUUUCAGGGAUCUUAACGCACAGCUGUCAACAACAGCUGUGUCUGACUCUCCCUGGAAGAAGCCCCAGCCAACUACGUGCCAGCAGCUGCGGUAGUACGUAGGGGGCGAGCGUUAUUCGGAAUUACUGGGUGUAAAGGGUAUGUAGGCGGCCCUUCAAGUCGCGUGUCAAAGUCCAGUGCUCAACGCUGGGUGUGCACGGGAUAUUGACGGGCUUGAGGGCUGGAGAGGCGAGCGGAAUUCCCGGUGUAGUGGUAAAAUACGUAGAGAUCGGGAGGAACACCAGCGGCGCAGGCGGCUCACUAGACAGUUUCUGACGCUAAGAUACGAAAGCGUGGGGAGCAAACA
RNAcentral lists this ribosomal RNA (425 nucleotides) under uncultured prokaryote. Its description in RNAcentral is "bacterial SSU rRNA". It matches the Rfam family "Bacterial small subunit ribosomal RNA", at positions 355 to 774 of the family's 1533-position model. The record is from RNAcentral.